RNAcentral lists this long non-coding RNA (735 nucleotides) under Homo sapiens (human). RNAcentral's name for it is "HSALNT0252655". Lineage: Eukaryota; Metazoa; Chordata; Mammalia; Primates; Hominidae. The record is from RNAcentral.
CACAAAUGUUGCAUUCUCAGAUAUUAAUAUGAACUCGAAGGUGCAAAAUAAACAUUGCAUCUUUUCUACUAUUGAAUAUAGAAGUUCCCCAAAUUGCUGUUCGUUGGAAAUCGACAAAAUACAUGAAAUUGCCACAUAGCUAUUGCUUUGGAUUGUUCAAGCUUUUUCAGUGGAGUCCACUUAUUUAUUAAAAUCAAAGUAAAAUCUUUGCAGCCUCUUUUAAAAAAAGGAAUAAAGGAACGGUAUGUAUAAAUGGGAUAAUCUUAUUUUAAGAACAGUAGUUUACUUUGGAUGACUUAUUUUAACCUCUUUCACACUCCAGACAACACCAUCAGAUUUAGCCAUACACAGAGCAUCUGGAGAAAAGGGUUAAAAAUAAAAUGACAAGUGAGCUUUUAAAAUUAAUGUAAAAGUGUCAGCCAACAUUUGCCAAUGUAAUAUCAGAGUUUUUGCAAUUAUAAAUAGUAAGCAAGAAAGGUCAACUUGCAUGGGUCAACAAAUAAAAGAAAAUAUUCUUAUAGUGGAAAAUAAAAAAGCACAAAGAAAACUUUUUAUUUUGCAGAUCAUUUCUGCACUGCCUGAAACUAGUGGUUUUCAUCCUAGACUUUGGACAUAUCAAUUCUGACCAAAUUAUUUGACAUAUUCAGAGAAAACAAAUGUGAAACUCUUUUUGAGAUUCCUUGGGCAAAUAUAAUGAAAUAAAUGACUAUAGCAGUUCUCUAGAGUGGUCAACAA